AGGAUAUAACUCAGUGAUAGAGCACCUGUCUAGCAUUCAUGAGGCCCUGGGUUCAAUCCCCAGUACUACUA
Molecule: non-coding RNA, 71 nt
Organism: Ictidomys tridecemlineatus (thirteen-lined ground squirrel)
Lineage: Eukaryota; Metazoa; Chordata; Mammalia; Rodentia; Sciuridae
Source: Rfam